AUUGAACGCUGGCGGCAGGCCUAACACAUGCAAGUCGAGCGGAUGAAGGGAGCUUGCUCCUGGAUUCAGCGGCGGACGGGUGAGUAAUGCCUAGGAAUCUGCCUGGUAGUGGGGUAUAACGUCCUGAAACGGGCGCUAAUACCGCAUACGCCCUGAGGGAGAAAGUGGGGGAUCUUCGGACCUCACGCUAUCAGAUGAGCCUAGGUCGGAUUAGCUAGUUGGUGGGGUAAAGGCCUACCAAGGCGACGAUCCGUAACUGGUCUGAGAGGAUGAUAAGUCACACUGGAACUGAGACACGGUCCAGACUACUACGGGAGGCAGCAGUGGGCAAUAUUGGACAAUGGGCGAAAGCAUGAUACAGCCAUGCCGAGUGUGUGAAGACGGUCUUCGGAUUGUAAAGCACUUUAAGUUGGGAGGAAGGGCAGUAAGUUAAUACCUUGCUGUUUUGACGUUACCAACAGAAUAAGCACCGGCUAACUUCGUG
This 484-nucleotide ribosomal RNA is filed under the name uncultured bacterium. RNAcentral describes it as "partial 16S ribosomal RNA". It matches the Rfam family "Bacterial small subunit ribosomal RNA", at positions 30 to 507 of the family's 1533-position model. The record is from RNAcentral.